UUUCUUUCAGGUGAAUCAUCUUCAUUAUUACACCUCUAUGUUGUGUUGCAGCCUGCAGCUCACUGCUGAUCUUAUUCAGGUGGUCUCAUCUCUGCACGCUGCCUAAUUAAGGUGGAUGUGACCAUGGAGGAGCCAGAAUGGAGGAGGAGCUUUGAUACCAGUAUAGAUUUCCUCCAUCCUGGCUCCCUUCCUGUGAAGAUGUUGGAGGAAGAUCAGUUAGAGCGGGAAGAAUGUGGGAAAAAUCAGCUGGAUGCGUGGAAGCUGUUCCUGCUGUACAUACAUACGCAGACGCCACAUUAAGCGGGGCGGCCCGUUGCUGUGACACAUCAGCACAUCCGCCAUAUUGGAUGUGGCAGAUCUGCGCUGUAAACUAAUCCAAGUAAAUGGACUGAACUUCAUG
Archocentrus centrarchus (flier cichlid) is the source of this 400-nucleotide long non-coding RNA. RefSeq lists it as uncharacterized. The record is from RefSeq and is a predicted model, not a curated record. Lineage: Eukaryota; Metazoa; Chordata; Actinopteri; Cichliformes; Cichlidae. The transcript has 4 exons.